UAGUCCACGCCGUAAACGAUGUUCACUCGCUGUUGGCGAUAUACUGUCAGCGGCCAAGCGAAAGCAUUAAGUGAACCACCUGGGGAGUACGAUCGCAAGGUUGAAACUCAAAGGAAUUGACGGGGGCCCGCACAAGCGGUGGAGCAUGUGGAUUAAUUCGAUGAUACGCGAGGAUCCUUACCUAGGCUCGAACGCUAUUUGACAGCUACUGAAAGGUGGUUUUCUUCGGACAGAUAGUGAGGUGCUGCAUGGUUGUCGUCAGCUCGUGCCGUGAGGUGUUGGGUUAAGUCCCGCAACGAGCGCAACCCCUAUUCUUAGUUGCCAGCAUGUAAUGAUGGGGACUCUAAGGAGACUGCCGGCGUAAGCCGCGAGGAAGGUGGGGACGACGUCAAAUCAUCAUGGCCUUUAUGCCUAGGGCUACACACGUGCUACAAUGGUGACUACAGAGGGUCGCGAAACCGUGAGGUGGAGCUAAUCUCAGAAAGGUCAUCCC
RNAcentral lists this ribosomal RNA (493 nucleotides) under uncultured bacterium. Its description in RNAcentral is "bacterial SSU rRNA". It matches the Rfam family "Bacterial small subunit ribosomal RNA", at positions 791 to 1289 of the family's 1533-position model. The record is from RNAcentral.